GAUUAGAGGAAUCGGGGAUAUAUUACUCUCGACCUAUUCUCAAACUACCAACCGGUGAGUAUACACUUGUUUGUAACUUGAUUGAAAUGGUGUGAUUGAAUGUUUGUGUCUCAAGUGGGCCAUUUUUGGUAAGCAGAACUGGCGAUGCGGGAUGAACCGAGAGUUGAGCUAAGGUGCCUAAGAACACGUUGAUAGAUACCACAAAAGGAGUCGGUCGAUAAAGACAGCAGGGCGGUGGCCCUGAAAGUAGGAAUCCGCUAAGGAAUGUCUAACAACUCACCUGCCGAAUCGACCGGCCCUGAAAAUGGAUGGCGCUUAAUCGUGUGACCGAUGCUCGGCCUUUAUGACAAGAAAUGUUUUAUAAAGGGUAGAAGGGCGCAACGGUAGCAAUAAAGUAUAAAGUGUAAACUUGUAUGGAGCUGCCGUUGGUGUAGAUCUUGGUGGUAGUAGCAAUGAUAAAAGUGAGUAAAAACCUUUUAGGCCGAAGUGGAGAAGGGUUUCACGUGAACAGCAGUUGGACGUGAGUUAGUCGGUCCUAAGCGGUUGCCUAAGGGCUAUUUCAAUGCUGACUUGUUUGUAGUUGUAUCGUAAAAAAGUAUGUCUACAGUAAAAAUGGGUCAGAAUCCGCGAAAGGGAAUCAGGUUAAUAUUCCUGAACCGGGCGUUGGAGACGUAGUAAUUACCUCUUUUGAGUUGUCUUAAUUGAUGGCAAAAUAGUAGUGUAGUUGUUGCUUAGCGGUAACGCAAACAAUCUCGGAGACGUUGAUGUCUAUGGUGGAGAGAAUUAUCUUUUCUGUAUAACAGGCCAAACAAGUACCUUGGAAUCGAGUCAUUCGGAGAUGAGGUAAAAAGCCUGGAAGAACAUUACAACUUUUGCAAUGUCCGCAUUAUAGGUAUCAACCCUUGAAAAUCCGAGGGAGUGGUUGAAUUUCACGUCCGUCCGUACCGAAUCCGCAUCAGGUCUCCAAGGUGUGCAGCCUCUGGCACUGGAACAAUGUAGGUAAGGGAAGUCGGCAAAAUGGAUCCGUAACUUUGGGAAAAGGAUUGGCUCUAAGGACCGGGCCAAUCGAGCUAGUAUUGCCUAGGUUAGUGGGGGUUGAACGGGAUUUGUUUGUAUUGCUUUGUGUUUUGCGGAGUAUAUAUGGAUAAAUUUGGUGAAGCAAACGCUGGCCCUGGAAUAUCUGUGUGAAUUUUUCAAUUGGUUGAUUGGCUAGUUGUGUAUGCAGUUGCUUAAUUGUGGGUGUUAUAUGUGGUUAGUGUGUAUCAGUCAAUAAAAUUCUUUACGAAUGGCAAGCA
RNAcentral lists this ribosomal RNA (1295 nucleotides) under Kudoa hypoepicardialis. RNAcentral describes it as "partial large subunit ribosomal RNA". It matches the Rfam family "Eukaryotic large subunit ribosomal RNA", at positions 1019 to 2098 of the family's 3401-position model. Lineage: Eukaryota; Metazoa; Cnidaria; Myxozoa; Multivalvulida; Kudoidae. The record is from RNAcentral.